This is a non-coding RNA of Arabis alpina (gray rockcress), 107 nucleotides long. NCBI's taxonomy places the organism in Eukaryota, Viridiplantae, Streptophyta, Magnoliopsida, Brassicales, Brassicaceae. The record is from Rfam.
AACCCGUGGUGAGGACAAUCUCUUUGAUAUCCCUUGAAUCGUUCCCAUGAAGCCUUGAAUGCUUUAGUUGGCCCUUGAGAGAAUGUAAAGAUCUUAGCUCACAGGUC